This 413-nucleotide ribosomal RNA is filed under the name uncultured bacterium. Its description in RNAcentral is "bacterial SSU rRNA". It matches the Rfam family "Bacterial small subunit ribosomal RNA", at positions 505 to 916 of the family's 1533-position model. The record is from RNAcentral.
GUGCCAGCAGCCGCGGUAAUACGAAGGGUGCAAGCGUUACUCGGAAUUACUGGGCGUAAAGCGUGCGUAGGUGGUUGUUUAAGUCUGAUGUGAAAGCCCUGGGCUCAACCUGGGAAUGGCAUUGGAAACUGGGCAGCUAGAGUGCGGUAGAGGGUAGUGGAAUUCCCGGUGUAGCAGUGAAAUGCGUAGAGAUCGGGAGGAACAUCUGUGGCGAAGGCGACUGCCUGGACCAGCACUGACACUGAGGCACGAAAGCGUGGGGAGCAAACAGGAUUAGAUACCCUGGUAGUCCACGCCCUAAACGAUGCGAACUGGAUGUUGGGUUCAACUUGGAACUCAGUAUCGAAGCUAACGCGUUAAGUUCGCCGCCUGGGGAGUACGGCCGCAAGGCUGAAACUUAAAUAAAUUGACGG